This 87-nucleotide transfer RNA is filed under the name subsurface metagenome. RNAcentral's name for it is "tRNA-Ser". It matches the Rfam family "tRNA". From Rfam's summary of the family: Transfer RNA (tRNA) molecules are approximately 80 nucleotides in length. The record is from RNAcentral.
CGGAGCAGUGGCCGAGUGGUUUAAGGCGACGGUCUUGAAAACCGUUGUACCGAAAGGUACCGGGGGUUCGAAUCCCUCCUGCUCCGU